This 253-nucleotide ribosomal RNA is filed under the name uncultured bacterium. RNAcentral's name for it is "partial 16S ribosomal RNA". It matches the Rfam family "Bacterial small subunit ribosomal RNA", at positions 524 to 776 of the family's 1533-position model. The record is from RNAcentral.
UACGAAGGGGGCUAGCGUUGCUCGGAAUCACUGGGCGUAAAGGGUGCGUAGGCGGGUCUUUAAGUCAGAGGUGAAAUCCUGGAGCUCAACUCCGGAACUGCCUUUGAUACUGAGGAUCUUGAGUUCGGGAGAGGUGAGUGGAACUGCGAGUGUAGAGGUGAAAUUCGUAGAUAUUCGCAAGAACACCAGUGGCGAAGGCGGCUCACUGGCCCGAUACUGACGCUGAGGCACGAAAGCGUGGGGAGCAAACAGG